This 851-nucleotide ribosomal RNA is filed under the name uncultured bacterium. Its description in RNAcentral is "bacterial SSU rRNA". It matches the Rfam family "Bacterial small subunit ribosomal RNA", at positions 31 to 916 of the family's 1533-position model. The record is from RNAcentral.
AGGCGAUGGCGGUAUGCUUAACACAUGCAAGUUGAACGAAGAUAAUAAUUCAUUGAAUUAUAAUACUUAGUAGCGGACGGGUGAGUAACGCGUAAGAAUCUACCUUUAGGAAAAGGAUAACAACUGGAAACGGUUGCUAAUACUUAUAUGCUGAGAAGUUAAAUAGGUUACUGCCUAAAGAUGAGCUUGCGUCUGAUUAGCUAGUUGGUAAGGUAAAGGCUUACCAAGGCGAUUAUCAGUAGUUGGUCUGAGAGGAUGAUCAGCCACACUGGGACUGAGACACGGCCCAGACUCCUACGGGAGGCAGCAGUGAGGAAUUUUUCACAAUGGGCGAAAGCCUGACGAAGCAAUACCGCGUGAAGGAUGAAGGCCUGCGGGUUGUAAACUUCUUUUAUUAGAGAAGAUAAUGACGGUAUCUAAUGAAUAAGCAUCGGCUAAAUAUGUGCCAGCAGCCGCGGUAAUACAUAUGAUGCAAGCGUUAUCCGGAAUGAUUGGGCGUAAAGCGUCUGUAGGUUGUUUAAAAAGUCAAUUGUCAAAAACUAAAGCUCAACUUUAGGCAGGCAGUUGAAACUUUUAGACUAGAGUAUGGCAGAGGUAGAGGGAAUUACUGGUGUAACGGUGAAAUGUGCAGAUAUCAGUAAGACACCAACGGCGAAAGCACUCUACUGGACCAAAACUGACACUCAGAGACGAAAGCUAGGGGAGCGAAUAGGAUUAGAUACCCUAGUAGUCCUAGCUGUAAACGAUGGAAACUAAAUAUUGCGUUUUUUUAAUGCAGUAUUGUAGCUAACGCGUUAAGUUUCCCGCCUGGGGAGUAUGCUCGCAAGAGUGAAACUCAAAGGAAUUGACGG